AGCGAACGCUGGCGGCAGGCUUAACACAUGCAAGUCGAGCGGGCACUUCGGUGUCAGCGGCAGACGGGUGAGUAACACGUGGAAACGUACCCUUCGGUUCGGAAUAACGCUGGGAAACUAGCGCUAAUACCGGAUACGCCCUUUUGGGGAAAGGUUUACUGCCGAAGGAUCGGCCCGCGUCUGAUUAGCUAGUUGGUGGGGUAAUGGCCUACCAAGGCGACGAUCAGUAGCUGGUCUGAGAGGAUGAUCAGCCACACUGGGACUGAGACACGGCCCAGACUCCUACGGGAGGCAGCAGUGGGGAAUAUUGGACAAUGGGCGCAAGCCUGAUCCAGCCAUGCCGCGUGAGUGAUGAAGGCCUUAGGGUUGUAAAGCUCUUUUGUCCGGGACGAUAAUGACGGUACCGGAAGAAUAAGCCCCGGCUAACUUCGUG
This 433-nucleotide ribosomal RNA is filed under the name uncultured bacterium. RNAcentral describes it as "partial 16S ribosomal RNA". It matches the Rfam family "Bacterial small subunit ribosomal RNA", at positions 29 to 507 of the family's 1533-position model. The record is from RNAcentral.